RNAcentral lists this non-coding RNA (23 nucleotides) under Cricetulus griseus (Chinese hamster). Lineage: Eukaryota; Metazoa; Chordata; Mammalia; Rodentia; Cricetidae. The record is from RNAcentral.
CCCAGGGCCAGGAAGGAGGCUGU